UUUGUAUGCCUACCCAUGUUCCCUGUGACUUUGCAGGUUCCUUGCCUUUAAGGCCCCAGGAGCGGUACGAGUCGCUUGUGUCUGUAAAUGGCUUGCAGCAUUCCUGUCGGCUGUGCCCUUAUCAGACCAAGAGGAAGUCCGACAUGAACAAACACAUACGUACACACUCAGGCGGACGUCCCUUCAUGUGCCACCUGUGCCCGGAAGCAUUCACUCAGGCUACCAACCUGACACGCCAUCUGCGCUGCCACACCGGAGACCGUUCCUUUUCCUGUGUGCACUGUGGUGCAUCGUUUAGGCAGAAGCGCCACCUGUCCAGCCACAUGUUCUGUCACGCAGGGAAGAAGCUCUAAAGGUGCAGCCAGUGUUUGUGCAGCUCAGAAACUCUACCUGAAAAAUGUGGCGACUUCAAAGAAUGCAAGUGUCUGCCCAUCAAGCCUCCAUGCACAGUUUUAGUGAAAAUGACAGCCGGGAUCACAGCCGAAGCCAAAGCUGGAGUCGCAACAGCUAGCAGGGACGUCCUGCCUGACAUUAUGCCACUCAUAUUCACACUGCAGACUCUAGACGAGGAGUCUGCAGUUGCAGCCAUGGUUACUGCCACAGUUCCCUCUUUCAGUAUUGACAACAUUGUAGCAGUUGGAUUAUGUGUGCCACUUGCAGUGCCACUUGUGCCCAAACGUGCUUGGUCAUGGUUCCAACCUCAAGCAGCAUGUUUGCAGUUGUACGGCAGAGUGGCCAUAUCUCUGCGCCUACUGCGCUGCAUCUUUUUCAUGGAAGGAGUUCCUCUUAUACCACAUGCCUUGUCACAGAUGGGAAAGAAGCGCUCAUUGUUAAGGGUGCACAGUUUCUUAAAGAAAAACUGAUUGAUUGAUUUAUGUGGUAUUCAUACUGCAUAGAAAGGGUUCUGGCCCUUGCAUGCACUGAGCUUCAUAGAAAAUUGCUUAAAGGGAAAUAUGACCACACCAUCCGUUAUACGCUGCUGUGACUUUGUAGCUAUGCUGAGAACUUCGAGGUGUAUCUUAUUCUGAAUGCAGCUUGGCCUAAACUCUGGCCACUGUUGUCUAAAUAAACUUUUCUUGGCACAGAAAGCUACGAAAGCCUUGUUGCACUACCUCAAGUCAACAGGUCUUGGCGACCGUCCGUAGACUU
Dermacentor silvarum is the source of this 1149-nucleotide RNA transcript. RefSeq lists it as uncharacterized. The record is from RefSeq and is a predicted model, not a curated record. The transcript has 2 exons. NCBI's taxonomy places the organism in Eukaryota, Metazoa, Arthropoda, Arachnida, Ixodida, Ixodidae.